UGAGGAAUUUUGGUCAAUGGGGGAAACCCUGAACCAGCGACGCCGCGUGUGGGAUGACGGGGCUUUGCCCUGUAAACCACUGUCGGAAGGGAAGAAAAGUCCCCUCAGGGGACCGGGACUGUACCUUCAAAGGAAGGAUCGGCUAACUACGUGCCAGCAGCCGCGGUAAUACGUAGGAUCCAAGCGUUGUCCGGAUUUACUGGGUAUAAAGGGUGCGUAGGCGGGCAUGUGCGUCAGGGGUAAAAUACAUCGGCUCAACCGGUGGCCUGCCCUUGAUACGGCAUGUCUUGAGUUCGAGAGAGGAUGAUGGAAUUCCUGGUGUAGCGGUGAAAUGCGUAGAUAUCAGGAGGAACACCAGUGGCGAAGGCGGUCAUCUGGUUCGCAACUGACGCUGAGGCACGAAAGCGUGGGUAGCAAACA
This 420-nucleotide ribosomal RNA is filed under the name uncultured bacterium. RNAcentral's name for it is "bacterial SSU rRNA". It matches the Rfam family "Bacterial small subunit ribosomal RNA", at positions 355 to 774 of the family's 1533-position model. The record is from RNAcentral.